GGUCGUGUAGCCGAGGUCCUUGAGGCGCCGGGCGAUCUCCUCGGUCAUCGCGACGCUGCGGUGCUUGCCGCCGGUGCAGCCGACGGCCACGGUCA
Molecule: transfer RNA, 95 nt
Filed under: Nocardioides sp. LS1
Lineage: Bacteria; Bacillati; Actinomycetota; Actinomycetes; Propionibacteriales; Nocardioidaceae
Description: tRNA-Asp
Source: RNAcentral